This 1172-nucleotide ribosomal RNA is filed under the name Vibrio parahaemolyticus. RNAcentral describes it as "bacterial SSU rRNA". It matches the Rfam family "Bacterial small subunit ribosomal RNA", at positions 93 to 1256 of the family's 1533-position model. Lineage: Bacteria; Pseudomonadati; Pseudomonadota; Gammaproteobacteria; Vibrionales; Vibrionaceae. The record is from RNAcentral.
GAGCGGCGGACGGGUGAGUAAUGCCUAGGAAAUUGCCCUGAUGUGGGGGAUAACCAUUGGAAACGAUGGCUAAUACCGCAUGAUGCCUACGGGCCAAAGAGGGGGACCUUCGGGCCUCUCGCGUCAGGAUAUGCCUAGGUGGGAUUAGCUAGUUGGUGAGGUAAGGGCUCACCAAGGCGACGAUCCCUAGCUGGUCUGAGAGGAUGAUCAGCCACACUGGAACUGAGACACGGUCCAGACUCCUACGGGAGGCAGCAGUGGGGAAUAUUGCACAAUGGGCGCAAGCCUGAUGCAGCCAUGCCGCGUGUGUGAAGAAGGCCUUCGGGUUGUAAAGCACUUUCAGUCGUGAGGAAGGCGGCGUCGUUAAUAGCGGCGUUGUUUGACGUUAGCGACAGAAGAAGCACCGGCUAACUCCGUGCCAGCAGCCGCGGUAAUACGGAGGGUGCGAGCGUUAAUCGGAAUUACUGGGCGUAAAGCGCAUGCAGGUGGUUUGUUAAGUCAGAUGUGAAAGCCCGGGGCUCAACCUCGGAAUAGCAUUUGAAACUGGCAGACUAGAGUACUGUAGAGGGGGGUAGAAUUUCAGGUGUAGCGGUGAAAUGCGUAGAGAUCUGAAGGAAUACCGGUGGCGAAGGCGGCCCCCUGGACAGAUACUGACACUCAGAUGCGAAAGCGUGGGGAGCAAACAGGAUUAGAUACCCUGGUAGUCCACGCCGUAAACGAUGUCUACUUGGAGGUUGUGGCCUUGAGCCGUGGCUUUCGGAGCUAACGCGUUAAGUAGACCGCCUGGGGAGUACGGUCGCAAGAUUAAAACUCAAAUGAAUUGACGGGGGCCCGCACAAGCGGUGGAGCAUGUGGUUUAAUUCGAUGCAACGCGAGGAACCUUACCUACUCUUGACAUCCAGAGAAACUUUCCAGAGAUGGAUUGGUGCCCUUUCGGGAACUCUGAGACAGGUGCUGCAUGGCUGUCGUCAGCUCGUGUUGUGAAAUGUUGGUUUAAGUUCCGCAACGAGCGCACCCCUUAUCCUUGUUGGCCAGCGAGUAAUGUCGGGAACUCCAGGAAACCUGCCGGUGAUAACCCGGAGAAAGUUGGGGACGACGUCAAGGUCAUCAUGGCCCUUACGAGUAGGGCUACACACGUGCUACAAUGGCGCAUACACUGAUGGAGCGGUCUA